This 459-nucleotide ribosomal RNA is filed under the name uncultured bacterium. RNAcentral's name for it is "partial 16S ribosomal RNA". It matches the Rfam family "Bacterial small subunit ribosomal RNA", at positions 338 to 795 of the family's 1533-position model. The record is from RNAcentral.
CCUACGGGCGGCAGCAGUGAGGAAUCUUGGUCAAUGGCCGAAAGGCUGAACCAGCCAAGCCGCGUGAGGGAAGAAUGUCCUAUGGAUUGUAAACUUCUUUUGUCAGGGAGAAAAGCCACCCACGUGUGGGUGUUGGAGAGUACCUGAAGAAAACGCAUCGGCUAACUCCGUGCCAGCAGCCGCGGUAAUACGGAGGAUGCGAGCGUUAUCCGGAUUUAUUGGGUUUAAAGGGUGCGUAGGCGGGUUAUCAAGUCAGCGGUAAAAUCACGGAGCUCAACCCCGGCCAGCCGUUGAAACUGGUGUGCUUGAGUGGGCGAGAGGUAUGCGGAAUGCGUGGUGUAGCGGUGAAAUGCUUAGAUAUCGCGCAGAACUCCGAUUGCGAAGGCAGCAUACCGGCGCCCGACUGACGCUGAGGCGCGAAAGCGUGGGUAUCGAACAGGAUUAGAUACCCGAGUAGUC